GGCUCUCUCUCUACUUUGUUUCUCUCUCUAAAACUUCGGCGGAUCAUAACUUUUGAUUCGUAACUCCGAUUCAGGAUCCGCGAAAAGCUACGGAUUCGUCUUGAUGUCCUCUUUCUAUCCAUAGAGGUUUGAGUUAGAUCCAAUGGUGAUUUUUAGAAGGCUCGGUUUACGAUCGGUAUUCUAGGAGGCGAUUCGUAUUAUCGAGCUCUGAAGUCAACAUAGUUGAAGCAAAAGGAUUUUGGAAGCUAUACGUGGAAACAGCAACGGAAUUGCUUCAGUCCAUUCCAAAGCAAGUCUCUAGAAAUUGGUUGACUUGAUUGGCAAAAUUUGGAAAAUGGUUCUUUCUUCAUUGAUUACUAGUCUCUGUCUUACAUUAUGAUAGAAGUUGACCCAGCACAACUUAUAUGACUAUUGCUGGGGAUGCGUAAUUGCGUAUAUGACUAGUCUCGGUUUUGUACAAUCAUUCUUUGUUUCUCUCCGUUUUGAAUGAAGGGAGCUUCUAUUCAUACCUCUAAAAUUGAUAUUUAGACCUCCAACUUACUUUUACAAAUAACCAAUAUGCUAUCUACACCUCCCUAAUUUUCCCAUAAUACCCAUCAUCUAAUAAUAACGAUAAAAACUUUUUUUUAGAGUGUUCUAUUCAUAUACCUCCAAAAUCGGUAGUUAGACCUCCAUCAAUUUUUUAACGUUUCACAAUAUUAUUUUACUCUUGAUAUAACUAAGCUGAAAAAAAAAAUCUUUCAAUUGAUAGCUCUCUCCCCCCCUGCUUAUUGUUGUAUUUUGUAGGCAUACGCAUCUUUAGAGGCUAAGAGCAGUUCAUUUUUUUUCAACUUCCUAAGAUUCCCUCGUUUCAUAUAUUAGCUCAAACAGUACGCUCCAAUGGAUGAGUUUGAUUUUAAGCGAAAGUGGUCUGUUGGUGUUUUGGUUAGAGAAUAUUGCAUAUCCGAAAUUGACUCGAGGCACUGCAAAGUAAGGAACUGGUCUGUUGAUUUCUCCGCUGCUUGGUAAGGAUGAAGAUCAUAACAAAAACAAAAGGGAAAAAAUGGCAUGACGAUGAAUAUUUGUUGAUUUCAUACCUCUAAAAGGGAAAAGAAUUUUUUUAAUUUUUGUUUUUUCUCUUUUGUGUCUUUAUUGGUAAUUUGACAUGAGUUGACAAAGUCAACUAUCACUUGAAAAAAGAAAGAGGUCCAAAUGCCAAUUUUGGAGGUAUGAAUAGAAGCUCCCAUUUAAGAAAUAUCUCUCUAUUUUCAAGUGAAGCAUGUCUAUUUGCGAAAAAUGCAGAGUUUAUAUAUAUUAUGUGUUGGAUCCA
This is a long non-coding RNA of Rosa rugosa (rugosa rose), 1309 nucleotides long. RefSeq lists it as uncharacterized. The record is from RefSeq and is a predicted model, not a curated record. Lineage: Eukaryota; Viridiplantae; Streptophyta; Magnoliopsida; Rosales; Rosaceae. The transcript has 2 exons.